ACGGCGAGUGAACAGGGAGAAGCCCAAAUUUGUAAUCUGGCACUUUUUACGAGUGUCCGAGUUGUAAUUUGUAGAGCUGUUAUCCGUACUGGACCAUGUACAAGUCUGUUGAAAAGCAGCAUCGUUGAAGGUGAAAAUCCUGUAGAUGAUAUGGACUACCAGUAUAUUUGUGAUACGGUUUCUAAGAGUCGAGUUGUUUGGGAAUGCAGCUCAAAGUGGGUGGUAAAUUCCAUCUAAGGCUAAAUAUAAGUGAGAGACCGAUAGCAAACAAGUACCGUGAGGGAAAGAUGAAAAGAACUUUGAAAAUAGAGUUAACAGUACGUGAAAUUGCUGAAAGGGAAACGUUUGAAGUUAGUUUUGUAUUCGUCGGAUCAGCUUCGCAAGGAGUGUAUUCUGAUGAUAAGCAAGUCAACAUCAGUCUAUGAGUGUCGGAGAAGGGUUUUGAGAACGUAGCAAUUUAGUUGUGUUAUAGCUUGAGACUUGGAUACGGUGCUUUGGAUUGAGGAACGCGUAGUAAGCUUUGAGCGGAUUCGAAAGGAUCUCCUUACUAUGGAUGUUGGUGAAAUAACUUUAAGCGACCCGUCUU
RNAcentral lists this ribosomal RNA (586 nucleotides) under Melampsora sp. NWC-06210. RNAcentral's name for it is "eukaryotic LSU rRNA". It matches the Rfam family "Eukaryotic large subunit ribosomal RNA", at positions 86 to 655 of the family's 3401-position model. The record is from RNAcentral. Lineage: Eukaryota; Fungi; Basidiomycota; Pucciniomycetes; Pucciniales; Melampsoraceae.